This 764-nucleotide ribosomal RNA is filed under the name uncultured Glomeromycotina. Its description in RNAcentral is "SSU rRNA". It matches the Rfam family "Eukaryotic small subunit ribosomal RNA", at positions 336 to 1101 of the family's 1831-position model. Lineage: Eukaryota; Fungi; Glomeromycota. The record is from RNAcentral.
AGAGCCUACCAUGGUGGUAACGGGUAACGGGGUGUUAGGGCACGACACCGGAGAGGGAGCCUGAGAAACGGCUACCACAUCCAAGGAUGGCAGCAGGCGCGCAAAUUACCCAAUCCCGACACGGGGAGGUAGUGACAAUAAAUAACAAUACGGGGUUCUUUAGGAUCUCGUAAUUGGAAUGAGUACAAUUUAAAUCUCUUAACGAGGAACAAUUGGAGGGCAAGUCUGGUGCCAGCAGCCGCGGUAAUUCCAGCUCCAAUAGCGUAUAUUAAAGUUGUUGCAGUUAAAAAGCUCGUAGUUGAAUUUCGGGGUUAGUAGAUUGGUCAUGCCUCUAGUAUGUACUGGUCUCACUGAUUCCUCCUUCCUGAUGAUCCGUAAUGCCCUUAAUUUGGUGUUGCGGGGAAUUUGGACUGUUACUUUGAAAAAAUUAGAGUGUUUAAAGCAAGCUAACGCUUGAAUACAUUAGCAUGGAAUAAUGAAAUAGGACGUUCGAUCCUAUUUUGUUGGUUUCUAGGAUUGACGUAAUGAUUAAUAGGGAUAGUUGAGGGCAUUAGUAUUCAAUUGUCAGAGGUGAAAUUCUUGGAUUUAUUGAAGACUAACUACUGCGAAAGCAUUUGCCAAGGAUGUUUUCAUUAAUCAAGAACGAAGGUUAGGGGAUCGAAGACGAUCAGAUACCGUCGUAGUCUUAACCAUAAACUAUGCCGACUAGGGAUCGGAUGAUGUUAAUUUUUUAAUGACUCAUUCGGCGCCUUACGGGAAACCAA